GAAUAUCAAUAAGCGGAGGAAAAGAAACCAACCGGGAUUGCCUCAGUAACGGCGAGUGAAGCGGCAAGAGCUCAAAUUUGAAAGCUGGCUCCUUCGGGGUCCGCAUUGUAAUUUGCAGAGGAUGCUUCGGGUGCGGCCCCUGUCUAAGUACCCUGGAACGGGUCGUCAGAGAGGGUGAGAAUCCCGUCUGGGAUAGGGUGUCCGCGCCCGUGUGAAGCUCCUUCGACGAGUCGAGUUGUUUGGGAAUGCAGCUCUAAAUGGGUGGUAAAUUUCAUCUAAAGCUAAAUACUGGCCGGAGACCGAUAGCGCACAAGUAGAGUGAUCGAAAGAUGAAAAGCACUUUGAAAAGAGAGUUAAAAAGCACGUGAAAUUGUUGAAAGGGAAGCGCUUGCGACCAGACUCGCCCCCGGGGUUCAGCCGGCAUUCGUGCCGGUGUACUUCCCCGAGGGCGGGCCAGCGUCGGUUUGGGCGGCCGGUCAAAGGCCCCUGGAAUGUAGUACCCUCCGGGGUACCUUAUAGCCAGGGGUGCAAUGCGGCCAGCCUGGACCGAGGAACGCGCUUCGGCACGGACGCUGGCAUAAUGGUCGUAAACGACCCGUCUUGAAACACGGACCAAGGAGUCUAACAUCUACGCGAGUGUUCGGGUGUCAAACCCGUACGCGCAGUGAAAGCGAACGGAGGUGGGAGCCCCCUCGCGGGGCGCACCAUCGACCGAUCCUGAUGUCUUCGGAUGGAUUUGAGUAAGAGCGUAAAUGUGGGGACCCGAAAGAUGGUGAACUAUGCCUGAAUAGGGCGAAGCCAGAGGAAACUCUGGUGGAGGCUCGCAGCGGUUCUGACGUGCAAAUCGAUCGUCAAAUUUGGGUAUAGGGGCGAAAGACUAAUCGAACCAUCUAGUAGCUGGUUCCUGCCGAG
Molecule: ribosomal RNA, 912 nt
Filed under: Aspergillus bombycis
Lineage: Eukaryota; Fungi; Ascomycota; Eurotiomycetes; Eurotiales; Aspergillaceae
Description: LSU rRNA
Rfam family: Eukaryotic large subunit ribosomal RNA
Source: RNAcentral